UCUAGAACUCGAGAUAUGGGCUGAACACUGAACAGUGUCUGGGCUAUAGGACAUAUUCCGACUUCUCUUUUAUUGCUACAAUCUGAACUUGAAAACGACUGUUUUGAAUCUUGGACUUUUCAUGAAAGUUUUAGGCCUAUGUCUUAGCUUUCCAUC
This is a non-coding RNA of Populus trichocarpa (black cottonwood), 156 nucleotides long. Lineage: Eukaryota; Viridiplantae; Streptophyta; Magnoliopsida; Malpighiales; Salicaceae. The record is from Rfam.